Long non-coding RNA from Populus euphratica (Euphrates poplar), 673 nucleotides. RefSeq lists it as uncharacterized. NCBI's taxonomy places the organism in Eukaryota, Viridiplantae, Streptophyta, Magnoliopsida, Malpighiales, Salicaceae. The transcript is spliced from 2 exons. The record is from RefSeq and is a predicted model, not a curated record.
UACAGAACAGGCACUUAACUAAAGCAGUGAUCGUAUUUGUGUACUCACUGAAUAUUGAUUGAGAUUAUCAUGUAUCAGGAGCAGUGAAAAUACAUGAAGUGCAUGCAAAAUUGUGACAAACUCCUGCUUAAACAACUCGUUUCCCCUUACUAAUUGCAGCGGCUCCAUAAGUGGUUCUGUGGAAUCUGAAAACAAGCUUUUUCCUCAACAAGAACAAAUAUCAAACCCAAGCACAUGCGUUCUCGCGAAGCAUAUAUCAAAUCCCAACUGUCGAUGAGAUGCUAGAUCUGAAGAACACCAGUACAUAUCGCUGGAUGCCAGAAUAUGUGGCUUCAAUUCAAGCACAUUUUUUGACUUAUGUACCAUGUUUUUUCAUACAAGGGGAACGAGUUUCGCAUCCUCACCAUGAGCACUAUCAUGGCUAAACCACAGUAAGGGAAGAUUACAGAAAAACUUAACGAGUUCAUGAACGGUAAAUACAUAUUGGUCACAAUAUAAACUCUACAUGAAUAGAAAUGCAGCGAGAUGCAGAGCUAAUUGCAUAUGCCGUUGGAAAAUGAUUCACAGAUGGAAGAAAUAACAGGAUUAGCAACAUAGAGUGUUCAACAAUGACCACCCACCACAGCACUUGAAUUGUUUGAAUUCAUUCCCAACUCAACAUCCAAGCAAACAU